UUUGUUUUGCAGCUUGUUGCCAUUGGCCCACGUAGCAGGUUGCCUCCCGAAGAAAACCCACACACACGACCUCUCUCUUUUCAUCUCCUCGGGCCCCUUGCCCCCUUCCUGCGGCUCCGCCACCGCUGCCCUCCAAAUCCACCGCACGACUGCAGAGGGCUAGCCCUCCCGCGCCGGCAACAUACCUCCGCCUCCUGGUCUUCUCUAUCUCGCCACUGGAUCGGCUGGCUGUGGCUAGGGAAGGCGGCGGGGCCGACGUCGAGAGUGAAGGCAGGUUUGUGGGAACUCAUCGAUCCGGUCAGUGGAGCGCAUCUUCCCUUCGUCGCGGCUGCUGUUCUAUUGGGGUGCUUGCCAUCCUUGGGUGGUGAUGCUCAUCCACCCUGGCAUGUAAGUUGUGUUCCAUCCAUCCCCAUCCCUCUCGUGUUUAUGUUGUCUGAUUGAAUGAUUAGGGCGAUUUCAUGAUUGUGGGAGAUUUCUUGCUCUUCUGAGCUUGUGGAAGUGGCUACUUGUGGAGGUUGAUUGAUUUGGUUGGUUCGUUGCCAGGAGAGUGACGGUUAGGAGAUAUGUUCUUGUUUUUGGUACAUGUUCACAUACUGACAUAAUAAUAUAAUGUGAUAAAUUCAGUUCGUCUUUUUAAAUAGGCAAUAUGUUCUUUUUUGAUUUCUCUACAAGAUCUCAGAUAGUCAACUAUCAUCAUUCUUAAAUCAAAGGGAAGAUUGUGAUCCUCGCAGUCCUCAUAAUGAAUUUAAAACAGGAAAACUGUAACCUGAAGCUUUGAGUUUUAUCACCUGACCUUUUCUGUUGAUAAUGAACACCAGGCUAUAAAUCUUCACGUUUCUUUCUUGUUUAAGCUUGCCGGUCGAUCUGACAAGCUCGUCGAGUAUGUCGCCCUCCUCCUCGUCCGCUUCCUCCACAUCCUCUAGCACCUGCAUGCACGCCCCCCACGUCAGCGAAUUCAUACGUCUGGUCUACUUAUGAUAUCCACAUACCAUCUUUUCGACGAUAUGCCCAUACAGAUUGUUUGGAUCUGUUUCUACUAUACAGGUGCUUAAUCUUGGUGUGGAUUGAGGCAUCACAAUUUUGUUUGGCUAGGGUGUGCAGACCAGGACACACAUAAUGGUGAGCCCCUUGGUCAUCAACUGAUCCAUCACCGAGGUAUGUAUUCACCACAGAAUCUGAUCAUAUGCAUUCUCCUUAUAAUCUAGAGAUUAUAGUUCUUCAGAAUAACUGUGUUAUCGAGCCGCGAGGCGCCGCUUGCUGUUAGACUAGCUAGAGUAUGCGAGGAUGACUUUGGCAUAUGGAUGUUGUUGUUCCAAGUUGAAUUUCAAAGAUACUUGAGAGGAAUUUCACCAGUUCCUGGGAUAAUUUGAUAUUUUGACGUGCUUUGUUAACUCUGUAUAUGUGUUUAGGUCGUAAGUCUGAUGAUUUCGUAGUUAUCAUCCUCCUUUGAGGGCGGUGCUUAUGUUAGACAUUUUUGGGAUGUCACCCUCUGUAUUUCGUGGGGAAAGAGAGAAGGAACAGAGAUUAAUGGAUUAUGACUGCGGUUAUUAGUUUGGGUGGGUUGGAUGUUUCACAUAUUUGGUGUUUUUGGUCCUGGAUUGUGAAAUAUUUAUUUUGUUGAAUGUUUUCCCUUGUACUGGAUUAUGUUAUCACAUGAAACGUACUGCUUGGAGCAAAGCAUGGCUGCUUGCAGCACUCUGUAUACCUUCUGUUGACUCUCCAUUUCAUUCUACUACAGUUAAAUUCUGCGAUCCAACAAAUGUGUCUUCGUUUCAGAAAAUAAGCAGUGCAUCGUACCAUUGUAGCACAUUUACCUAUAGCUCAUUGUCUAUGCCAUUCUUAGUAUAAUAUAAAGGGAAAUAAUCAACUGUUAGAUGAACUAGAAUAUGUAUUCUGGACACAAUCUCUCCGUGCAGAUCUUUUU
This is a long non-coding RNA of Aegilops tauschii subsp. strangulata, 1924 nucleotides long. RefSeq lists it as uncharacterized. Lineage: Eukaryota; Viridiplantae; Streptophyta; Magnoliopsida; Poales; Poaceae. The record is from RefSeq and is a predicted model, not a curated record.